This is a long non-coding RNA of Balaenoptera ricei (Rice's whale), 892 nucleotides long. RefSeq lists it as uncharacterized. The transcript is spliced from 4 exons. The record is from RefSeq and is a predicted model, not a curated record. NCBI's taxonomy places the organism in Eukaryota, Metazoa, Chordata, Mammalia, Artiodactyla, Balaenopteridae.
CCGUCUCUGGAGCUCACUUAGGCGGUGCUCUGAAUCCCCUCUCCUUGCGCACCCCGAAACAGUGGUCUCUUGCUUCUUUGGCAGGUCCAGACUUUUUCCUGGACUCCCUCCCAGCCAGCUGUGGGGCACUAGCCCCCUUUCAGGCUGUGUUCACGCAGCCAACUCCAGUCCUCUCCCUGGGAUCUGACCUCCGAAGCCCGAGCCUCAGCUCCCAGCCCUUGCCCGCCCUGGCGGGUGAGCAGACAAGCCUCUCAGGCAGGAUUUGGUGCUUUUCCUCUGUGUUUUCUGGUGUGACUCUUGGCUACGGAUAAUCCAGACCGUGACUGCUGACUGUAGCCACGUGAGUCUGGGAAGGCGGUCAGCAGCUACUACUGGAGUUUUUGAAGAACGUAAAAUGCUCUAAAAAUGUGAGCAUGGGUCACCCUGAGAUGCUGCGAGAGACUUCUAAGACCCUUUGGAGAGUAAGCGCACUGGGACGUGGUCAGACUCCCAGAUACUGGGGUUGCUCAUGGUGCCAGGGGGAGAGUGCGUAAGCCAAGGGCAGCCGCGGUAGCUGCUGGCUCUCUGAGCACUGCACUCUGUCACUGUUCAUCUUGUUGAAUGCCAGCAGGCCGGCCUCUGCCGAGAGGACAGUUAACUACUGCAACUUCACUUUUGGAGAGAACUUGAAAGUUCUCCUGAUUCACAGCCUCAGAGCUGAUUCCGCUGAAACAGGAAGCUCCCUCCUUGAUGCUUUAGAAGCCACAGAGAUGAUGGAGACACUUCCCUGGUGGAUGCUGAGAAACAGACCCUUCACAAACACCACCCUUCCCAAGUUCAAGGAGAGCUUGGAUGGAAUGCACUUGGCCGGUGUGUUCUUACGGAUAUGCUUGCAGUGAUUCGUAGGGCAUUG